This 27-nucleotide unclassified non-coding RNA is filed under the name Dictyostelium discoideum. The record is from RNAcentral. Lineage: Eukaryota; Evosea; Eumycetozoa; Dictyosteliales; Dictyosteliaceae.
CUGAAAAGCAAGAUCAUCAGACUUGGU